AGAGAAGGAGCCCCUGGACCUUGGCGCCCCCAUAUCAAGUCUGGAUGGGCAGCGGGUCAUCUUGGAGGAGAAAGAGCCCUCCAGAGGGAAAGUAUCCACAGAGAAACAGAAAAGUGCACCAGCCAAACAGAAUGUAGCUGUAAAUUCCAGUUCCAGAAAUCACUCGGCUACGGGAGAGGAGAGAACGCUAGGCAAGUCUAAUUCUAUUAAAAUAAAAGGAGAAAAUGGAAAAAAUGCUAGGGAUCCCCGGCUUUCAAAGAGAGAAGAAUCUAUUGCAAAGAUUGGGAAAAAAAAAUAUCAGAAAAUUAAUUUGGACGAAGCAGAGGGUAUGUGUGCUUUUUACAACUUCCACGUUUUCUAGUGAAUGCGAUGUUAGUCUUCCAGGGCCGUCAUUAGGACUCCUCUGAGCCAUUGACAUCAGAAGGACGCCAUCCCUGUCACACUGAGCUGAGCAUGCCCCUCGCCCCGGGUCAGUCUGGGGCUGCUGUGCCGCUCUUCCCAGUUGUCAGACUGAGCAUCGGGCCUCUUAGAGGCCACGGAGUGCCCUUGAGGGGGGCAGCAAGUGGUCCCCAAGGGUCUGCCUGUGCCCUCCCCUCCCCAGCUCCUAC
Long non-coding RNA from Callorhinus ursinus (northern fur seal), 608 nucleotides. RefSeq lists it as uncharacterized. NCBI's taxonomy places the organism in Eukaryota, Metazoa, Chordata, Mammalia, Carnivora, Otariidae. The record is from RefSeq and is a predicted model, not a curated record.